RNAcentral lists this ribosomal RNA (373 nucleotides) under uncultured organism. RNAcentral's name for it is "bacterial SSU rRNA". It matches the Rfam family "Bacterial small subunit ribosomal RNA", at positions 526 to 896 of the family's 1533-position model. The record is from RNAcentral.
CGUAGGGUGCGAGCGUUAAUCGGAAUUACUGGGCGUAAAGCGUGCGCAGGCGGUUUUGUAAGACAGGCGUGAAAUCCCCGGGCUCAACCUGGGAACUGCGCUUGUGACUGCAAGGCUAGAGUACGGCAGAGGGGGGUGGAAUUCCACGUGUAGCAGUGAAAUGCGUAGAGAUGUGGAGGAACACCAAUGGCGAAGGCAGCCCCCCUGGGUCGAUACUGACGCUCAUGCACGAAAGCGUGGGUAGCAAACAGGAUUAGAUACCCUGGUAGUCCACGCCCUGAACGAUGUCAACUAGGUGUUGGGUGGGUAAAACCAUUUAGUACCGGAGCUAACGCGUGAAGUUGACCGCCUGGGGAGUACGGCCGCAAGGUUA